CCUACGGGAGGCAGCAGUGGGGAAUUUUCCGCAAUGGGCGCAAGCCUGACGGAGCAAGACCGCGUGAGGGAGGAAGGCUCUUGGGUUGUAAACCUCUUUUAUCAGGGAAGAAGAUCUGACGGUACCUGAUGAAUCAGCAUCGGCUAACUCCGUGCCAGCAGCCGCGGUAAUACGGAGGAUGCAAGCGUUAUCCGGAUUUAUUGGGCGUAAAGCGUCCGCAGGUGGUUAUUCAAGUCUGCUGUUAAAGCGCGAGGCUUAACUUCGUACAGGCAGUGGAAACUGAAUGACUAGAGUAUGGUAGGGGUAGCGGGAAUUCCCAGUGUAGCGGUGAAAUGCGUAGAUAUUGGGAAGAACACCAGCGGCGAAAGCGCGCUACUGGGCCAUUACUGACACUCAUGGACGAAAGCUAGGGGAGCGAAAGGGAUUAGAUACCCCUGUAGUCCUAGCUGUAAACGAUGGGUACUAGGUGUUGACCGUAUCGACCCGGUCAGUGCGUGCUACGCGUACGUACCCGUCCGUCGGGUAGUAUGCACGCAGUGUGAACUACAAGAGUAGUACGCGNGNGAGACGCGACGACGACGACGACGGAGGAGG
Molecule: ribosomal RNA, 594 nt
Filed under: uncultured bacterium
Lineage: Bacteria
Description: bacterial SSU rRNA
Rfam family: Bacterial small subunit ribosomal RNA (bases 1-516)
Source: RNAcentral